RNAcentral lists this long non-coding RNA (11046 nucleotides) under Erythranthe guttata (spotted monkey flower). Its description in RNAcentral is "long non-coding RNA (EGUT_LNC000863)". The record is from RNAcentral. Lineage: Eukaryota; Viridiplantae; Streptophyta; Magnoliopsida; Lamiales; Phrymaceae.
CCAAAUGGAGCUCGUUGAGUUGAGCGACGUUCUCAACGCCUAGUGGGAUACGCCCCAAGUUCUGACAUCGGCUUAUUAUGAGUUUCUGAAGGCACGGUAAUGCCCAAUUCUCAAUUGUGAUUACUGUCAGCUCUUUCAUUUGAUCGAACUCUAGUACUUUUAGCUUCUGAAACCUUCCAGCUUCGAAAUCUAACUGGACUCCUGUGUAGGCAUCUAGCAGCUGGAGCUCCAGCAGAUUGGGAAGUUUCCCAAGAAUUGUGAUGGGGUUGUUGUCUUGUCUCAGCCUAGACCACUUGAGACGUAUUCUAACCAGGUCAUGAAGUUUCGAGAUCCACUGUGGCAUCUUCUCCAACUGCCCUUUCAAAUACAAACGUUGAAGUGGAGGAGGGUUGCCGAUUACUUGAAUGUUUAGAACUUCCUCCCUGUGUAGUGAUGUCAUGUUCAAGGAAUGAAGAUUCGUUAACAUUUGAAUGACUUUGCACAGAGUCGGACCACUGUUACUUGGUAAAUCAAUAAUCCCUAGCUUCCUAAGCUCCGUCAGAUAACGCAACUCAUGAAUCAUUUUGUGAUCACUAUCCGCCCUUACAAAUGAUAGCUUCUGCAGAUUAGUUAAUUUUCUUACUUCUGUUGGUACCUUGAAUCCGUUCACCGCACCAAAAGAAACAUACCCGUUGAUAUUGUAGCGGCAUAUAAGCAAGUGUCGGAGUUCUGUCAGAUUAGUCAAUGUGUCCGGCACUGAUGUCACGAAUGUCUGCUUGAGAUUUAAGGUCUCGAGGUGCUGCAAUCGACCAAUGGACACGGGGACCAUCUUGAUUCUUGUGUUGCUCAAGCACAAAUACUUCAGUAGUAAGAGAUCUUCAAUUCCUUUAGGAAAUGUGUCCACGGAUGCACCGUCCAAAUGCAGUGUUUUCAGUAGCUUCAAGCUGGAACUAAUGUGUGAUGCGAUCUUCAGGCCAAUGCUUGAUGUGAAUAAAGUACGAGCAUGACACAGGUUUUUGUUUGGCAUGUUGAAUUCAGUGUUCUGGAUUGACAGUCUCCGAGUCUUGUCUGGAAUCUUACCUUUGGCAUUUAGCCAAAUUGUACAGAAAUUCUCGGCUUCUGAUUUAGAGAGAGCAAUCUUGUGCAUAAGGCUAUGGAGUCGGCAAGUUUGUGGUCUUCCAGCAAAGUCCAGUUCGCCUGCCUGUAUUAAGUUCCUCUGUAUGAGCUCUUGGAGGUACUCUUCUCCAAUAUCUUCGACUUGUUUGUCAUUCUCUCUCCCUACAAAACCUUCGGCUAUCCACAAUCUAAUCAAUGUUCUUCGCUUCACCAAGUAACACUCUGGAAACAUACUCAUGUACAGAAAGCAGCACUUUAGACGGUCCGGCAAAUCAUCAUAACUCAACAGCAAUGCCCUUCUAAUGCUUGACAGUUGGCCUGAAGCGAGCUCUGUGCGUAGAGUAUCAUGUACUUUUCUAAACUCAGAUUCACUUUUCUCUUUGGCGUACAAAAGUUUUCCAAUUUCAAUGAUCCCAAUUGGCAGCCCUUCACAUUUUCUCAAGAGGUUUUCAAACCACAAACACUGUCUUGGUUCUGAAGGAAGCGCGCCACAUUUUCUUUGGAAGAGAUCUCGAGCCUUUUCCAAAGGCAAAGCUUGGAUGUUGUAGACUUCGACAAAGUUUUCUCUACAGCUGGAAGAAGCUAUAUCGCCUCUUCUUGUAGUGAUUAUAACUCUGCUGCAAUUACCUCUAGGUAAUGCACACCUGACAUCAUUCCAAACUUUUGUAGUCCAUAGAUCAUCAAUAAUUAUAAGGUACCUUUUGUCGUGCAGAUAAUUUUUCAGCAUGUUGACAAGAUCCUCGAGGGCUUGAGAAGAAUUCACGGGAUACUGAGCUGCUUCAUUGCGUAAUUUAUUUGACAUGAUGGAGAGGAGUUCUAGGCUGUUCAUAGACAUUGAAGCAGUGAGCCAAACAUGGCAAUCAAAGUCGGUCUUGAGCUGAUCGUACACCAGUUUGACGAGCGCAGUUUUGCCGGACCCACCCAUCCCGACAACAAACUUCACCUUGCAAGCACGUUCAGAAUCGAGUAUCCAAGAAGUCAUUUCUUCUUUUGGUUCCUCGACACCUACAAUUUCAUCUCCUGGAGUGUCCUCGGUAGCAAUUUCUGCCUGUUGAUAACUUGGAAUUGAAGCAGGAUGAGAGGAACGUCUAUUUUGAUAAUCAGCCCUCUUGUCAGUGAUUCUUUUAAGGUUUGCCUCGGUCUCGUUUAUAAAUGCGGCGAUGGAAUGCAUUCCUAUUCUUGAUCCUCUGUCAUACCAUGGGGAGUUUUGAUGGGAAUUUUGAUAUGCUCUCAUAUCAAGAACAUCCUCAAUGUCAUAGAUCACACCCCGAAAAAGGCGAAUCAACUCCUGGGUUUGGUUAUCCUGCUCUCUUUCGGUAUCCAUAUCUUUGAGAAUUGCUUUCGUCAUCGGCAGGUCGGUCUGCAACCUCUCGAUUCCUUCCUUAACUUUAUCGGACAAGGUCUGUUAGAAUUUAUUUCGUGUAGAUAUAAAUUAUUUGUGUCAGAUUCAGUUUUUCGUUACUGUUGCGUGAAGUGUUGCAACAGUUCGUGAAGCAGUUCGUAAAAACAGAAAUAAACGAGACACAAAUUUUAAUGUGGUUCGGAUACAACUGUACCCUACAUCCACGGGGACCUGCAAAUAAAAUUUACUAAUUUUUAGUUUUACGAAUACAAUAAUAGGACUUAAUCAAAAUACAAAGACUCCCUCUUUGUUGACGCCGUUCUUGUAUACUACGCUGAAUUAUAAAUCUUCAAUUUGCAGCACGUCCCUUGCUCCGCACGGUUGAACUCCCUUCAACGCUGAUUUCUUCAGUCGGCGGAUCGAUCUCCUCCCGAGAUCUGUUUAAGCCCCUCUCCCGAAGAACCGGUCUUCUUUUUGUAUAGAAGAAGCAAACUUGUGAUACUCGUUGAAUCUUGGUGUCUUCACCACAAAGCCUUGAAGCCGAUAUAUUUUUUAUGAAAAUCACGUAUCACGAUGGAGCAAUAAAAACGAGAGGAAAAAAAUAUUUCUCUGAAAUCUUCUCUCGAUAGAAAAACUCCGGAAGAGCAACAAAGAAAAGAGAAUUAUUUUUCUCUCCAAAAAGCCGCGCACAAUCACGUUCUGAUGUCUUCCUUUUUAUACGUGAUUGAAUCUUCCUAUACAAGAAAUAAAGAAACCCAUUAGGUUUUAUUGUUAGACGUACAAAGAAGAGUUUUUAAUAGAAAAGAAAUAUUAGCCCACUACUAAUGAAUACUUAAUUCCCAUAAAAUAUAAAAUACCAAUGAAAUAAAAUCCAUUAGGUUAGGGAUUCUUAUUCACGUAAGGAAAAGGAUUUGUAUAACAAAGGAAGGUCUUAGUCAUAGAAAUUCCUUGUUAACACAUCACUUUAUGUAAUUAAAUAAAUUAAUGACAAAAUAAGAGUUUAAAGCAUUAAGGAAACUUCCCUAGCUUUAGACACACGUUUUUCACACACGUGCUGAAAAACCGAAAUUAGAAUCCUCUCGGAUUCUAACAAUCUCCCCCUUUGUCAUCUAUUUAUUAUAAUCAAGUCCUCCCCUUAAUCAAAUACCUGAGAAAAUAAAACAAUCAGAUGAUAGACGGAAGCAAUAAAACAAAGAUCAUUAUCAACUCUUUCUACAACAAGAGUGGCAUCAACUGCUGCAAUAGUAAGUGCCACAGUUUCAGCAACUGUUCCCACAGUAGUGACUUCGGCAGGUGGUUCACAACGGAGUCAGCUCCCCCUGCAUGUGUAUCUUACUCUGUGAAUGAUCUUUAGGCAGCUCCUCUUGUAAAUGCAUUCAUUCUUCCCCUUUGCUUACUCGGCUUGAUACACUUGGAAGGCGGUGGAUGACAACGUGGUAAAUUAUCCACGUGAUAAAAAAAAAACUCAGCAAAUAAUGUCUGCAUUAGCACCCCGUGUUGUGGACUUAGAAUCCCACCGCGAUUCUAACACUCUCCCCCUUUGGCAUUGAUUGGUCAGAACAUUUACUCCCCCUAAAUAUAUGAUACAUGCAUGAACAAGGGUUAGCAAAUUCAGAAUAACAUCUGCACAUAUAAACUGUUGCAACAGUUUAUCAAACAGUUUAAGCUCUUAGCAAAAACAGCUUAGGAAAGCAUAUAGGUAAAAUUGUUCAAUUAAGCAGGGAACAACAAAAAAAAUGCAGUAGCAGAAUCAACUUCCCUUUACAAUGAAUUCCUCCUUAAAUGACCUCCUCCUUGAAUGACCUCCUAUUUUUUUUAUUGUUCCAAAAACUGUCGGAUGAACUGUCUCAACAGUUGUCUGAACUCCCCAUGUAUUCCAGUACUGUUCCAGCAAUUGUUUAGUGCAUUGUGGCAACAGUUGUUUGAACUCCCCCUGUGUUCAUGCCAACUUUACUGUUCUUUUUCUUUUCUCCCCCUUUCUGGGCAAUCACCAUGCAUAGAUAAAUUAACAUGGACUAAUGAUCUUGAUGUGUCGAGCAAUCUGUUCAAACACUUAACAAAAAGAUCAAACGAAGAGAGAAUUUUGAAAGUAAGUAAGAAGAAUCACCAUACAUGACGUGCACACAAAAUCACAAACUCACAACUCAAUACCACACGAUAAUUGCAAUGCGAAAAUCAAAGGAUAGUGAUAUCAAAUCCAACAUUAAAUAACAAAGACUACAGACUUUGCCAAACUUCCUAAGAAACGUGGAGAUGAGAGGAGUAAACUCAAUAGAUCCGGCUGCAACAAAAAAAUAAAUUUAACCGGCACAUAAACAAAAAUCCCGUCUCUCUUUCUCUCUCUCUCUCUUUUUUUUUUUUUUUUUUUUUAAAUAAUGCCUAAUGCAAGACAAGAAGUAAACAUGAGAAAUAAACAUGAGUGAAGAGACAUAUGUGAAUAGGAUACAACAUGGGCUAACAAAACAUAUGGGAUUUAUCUUCACAUUCACGAUAAAUGCAAUCCCCAAAAAUCCGACUGCCAAUGCAACCAAUAAAUUUAAUAAUCCCAAGUCAAACACAAAGAUGCUCUUAUUAGGUAGCGUACACACACGUCUAAUGGUAGCUUUUUCUCAUGAAAAAUAGAGCAAUUAAAAGGAACGAGAUUAUGGUGGUCGUGCAAUGUGUAGUCCCCUGGGCUUUCUAAUUGAGCCUUGUAGUGAGUGUUCGGUCAAGUGGUUUACUAGCUCGAUUCAACUAGGCUUCGAACUAUUCACUGACCAUAUGUAUAAUUUAUAUUGGUCGUGCAAUGUGUAGUCCCCUGGGCUUUCUAAUUGGGCCAUGUAGCGAGCUUUCGGCCACGUGAUUUACUGACUCGACUCAAAAAGGCUUCGAACUAUUCACUGACCAAAUGGUUGUAGAUAUAUAUAUUAGUAACAGUAGUUCAAGAGAGCUUUCAUUCAUUAAAAGAGGCAGAUUUUCCCUAUAAAAACAUCCAACCAUGACAAGACUAUUCAGAUAAAUAAAUAAGUUGGAGCCUUUUAAGUAAUCAUUUUGGGAAUUGGUGAAGUUCUACCCCCACAAAGUUUAGAAGAACACGAAGUAUCAAAUUCACAUUUGUCUCAAUCAUAUGCAGUAUGCUUAAUGCAGGUCCUAUAUGAGAUGCAAAAACAUAUGAAGUGUCCUACCACUAAAAGUUGCAAGUCUGGACACACAGACUGUUGCAACAGUUCAUGCAACUGCAUCAGAUUAAACAACAUAAAUUCCCAGCGAUUUUCGCAAGGAAACAAAUUUCUGUGCAUCAAGGGUUUUUGCAAAAGCAUCAGUUAAUUCAUUCUCCGUUGCACCAUAAUCAAUUGAGACAACCCCCUUUUCGACCAAGCCCCUUAUGAAAAGAUGACAAAUAUCAGUAAGUUUAGUUCUCGAAUGCUGAAUUGGAUUCAUAAACUUAUUUUUCGCAUACAAAUUAUCACAAUUCAGAUUACCAAGUUUUUUAUUCCCCAAACUAGCUUUGUCACAAGAACUGUUGGAACAGUUAGUACUAUCAUCAGAUGAGUUUAAAGAAGUAAUGGCAGAUAAACAAUUAAGAUCAGACUUCUUUACCCAGAUUUUUUGUUGAGUUUUAUUCACUAAAUCAACCUUUAUCUUGGGUUUUUGAGACGACACAAAAGUGUGAUCAAUUUUAGCGGAAAGUGGUGAGCGGGCCAUUAUUCUUUUAACCAUUUUCAAGUACUUAAAACACCUGGGUCGUAUAUGACCAGGAACAUGACAAAAAUGACAGGUAGGAACAAAAACUUUUCUUUGAAAUGGCUGUGUUGGUGCAACUGUCGCAACAGUCUGUGAAACAGUGGAUUGCUUAACAAAAUUGAUUUUUCUUUUAGGAUUUUCUUUCUGUUUCGAUGCACCAGUAGAUAGCUGGUUACCCCCUAUACCUAUACGACAGUAGUUCGGCUGAUUUUUGUUCAAAAUUUCAUUCAAAGUUACUCUACCAGUAUUAAACUUAGAAAUAACAUCUUGGGUUUGAGCAAAUUUAGCCUGCAAGCUAUCUAUUUCUCUACUAGAAGAAAUAACAUUUUGUUCAAGAGUAGAAAUUCUUACCUUCAACACUUUAUUUUCCUCUAUGAGAACAUGCUUAUCAUUUUCAAGGCGCUUAUUUACCUCAGAUACUUCAAGCCACUUCCGGUACAUUUUUUUAUAUACAUCUUUCACCUCUUCAAGGGUUGGCUCUUCAUCAUCACUACUGCUCUCAGAUUCACCUGCAAAAUUAAAUGAUGAAGUCAGACUAUUGUCCUUAUUUAAAGAUAAUUCAUCAUACCUGAAAUCUGUCGGACAGACUGUUGCAACAGUUCCCUCGGUUCUGCUCAUCGAAGUAGUACCACUGAAUGCCAUAAAGUUAGUGGUUUGAUCUCCUUUGUUGUUCUCAUCCUCAUCACUGUCCUCUUUAUCACUCCAAACAGUGGUGAGUGACAUCUUAUUUUUCUUCAAAGUGUUCGCACACUCGGCCUGAAUAUGUCCAAAACCCCCACACUCUCGACAUUGUUUUCUCCUAGACUUUGCAUCACCAAAAUAACCAUUAUUAGAAAACUUUUUAAAUUUGUUAGGGUUAACAGACUUACCUGAUUGAGAGGAAUUUUCUCUAUUUUCGAUUUUUUUACGCAGGCUUUCGAGGUUAUUUGACAUAAUUGCUAAGGAUUCUUCAACAUCAAUGUCACACUCAUGAAAUGUUUGGCCUUGUGAGAUGCCAUGGGAAGCUUCAGCUUGGAAUGCCACAUUCUUCACCUUUUUCUUUUCUCGAAUAUUUGCUCUAAAAUUCAUUUCUUGGGUUUGCAGUUUACCCAUGAGUUCAUCUAGCUUUAGCGUAUUGAUAUCUCUCACUUCUUCGAUUGCUGCAACUCUGUAAGCGAAUCUUUCUGGUAAUGAACGUAGUGCCUUUCUUACCAACUUUGUUUCCGAGUAUUGUUCACCUAGUGCAUACGAUUCAUUUGAAAUAUCACACAGCUUAGCGUGGAAAUCAGCAAUCGUCUCGUCCUCCUCCAUAUGAAGACUCUCAAAUUUCGUGGCUAGCAUCUGCAGCUUAGAUGUUUUAACAGUUGAUGUGCCUUCAUACGUCACUUGUAGGAUCUCCCAUGCUUUUUUUGCUGAUUCACACGAUGCUAUCAAUUUGAACUGAUUGUCACCAACGCCAUUGAAAAUUGAGUUUAUCGCCCUUGAGUUGUAAUUGGCAAGUAAUAUCUCUUCAUUAGUCCAUGCUUCUUCUGGUUUUACCGUUUGCAUACCAUCCGUUCCUUUAGCCAUGGGCGGGGUCCAACCAGUCACGAUAGCACGCCAAGCUCGUUCAUCAACGGACUUGAUGAACAUCUUCAUCUUCGAUUUCCAGUAAGAGUAAUUUGUUCCAUCCAAGAUAGGUGGUCGUACUGUAGACGCUCCUUCACGAUGAAGCAUAUCUGCACAAAACAAUUUAAAAAAUUAAAUCCCAAAAUCUCACUAAGUGUAUCUAGUGACAGGCUUUGAUACCAAUUGUUAGAAUUUAUUUCGUGUAGAUAUAAAUUAUUUGUGUCAGAUUCAGUUUUUCGUUACUGUUGCGUGAAGUGUUGCAACAGUUCGUGAAGCAGUUCGUAAAAACAGAAAUAAACGAGACACAAAUUUUAAUGUGGUUCGGAUACAACUGUACCCUACAUCCACGGGGACCUGCAAAUAAAAUUUACUAAUUUUUAGUUUUACGAAUACAAUAAUAGGACUUAAUCAAAAUACAAAGACUCCCUCUUUGUUGACGCCGUUCUUGUAUACUACGCUGAAUUAUAAAUCUUCAAUUUGCAGCACGUCCCUUGCUCCGCACGGUUGAACUCCCUUCAACGCUGAUUUCUUCAGUCGGCGGAUCGAUCUCCUCCCGAGAUCUGUUUAAGCCCCUCUCCCGAAGAACCGGUCUUCUUUUUGUAUAGAAGAAGCAAACUUGUGAUACUCGUUGAAUCUUGGUGUCUUCACCACAAAGCCUUGAAGCCGAUAUAUUUUCUAUGAAAAUCACGUAUCACGACGGAGCAAUAAAAACGAGAGGAAAAAAAUAUUUCUCUGAAAUCUUCUCUCGAUAGAAAAACUCCAGAAGAGCAACAAAGAAAAGAGAAUUAUUUUUCUCUCCAAAAAGCCGCGCACAAUCACGUUCUGAUGUCUUCCUUUUUAUACGUGAUUGAAUCUUCCUAUACAAGAAAUAAAGAAACCCAUUAGGUUUUAUUGUUAGACGUACAAAGAAGAGUUUUUAAUAGAAAAGAAAUAUUAGCCCACUACUAAUGAAUACUUAAUUCCCAUAAAAUAUAAAAUACCAAUGAAAUAAAAUCCAUUAGGUUAGGGAUUCUUAUUCACGUAAGGAAAAGGAUUUGUAUAACAAAGGAAGGUCUUAGUCAUAGAAAUUCCUUGUUAACACAUCACUUUAUGUAAUUAAAUAAAUUAAUGACAAAAUAAGAGUUUAAAGCAUUAAGGAAACUUCCCUAGCUUUAGACACACGUUUUUCACACACGUGCUGAAAAACCGAAAUUAGAAUCCUCUCGGAUUCUAACAAGGUCCAUUCUUUAGUCAACCAAUUGUCUGUUUUUUCGAUUAAAUAGGUGGCUGCGGCCUCGGCCAUCUCUCUAUUUGGAGUCUAAUAUCUCAAAUAGCAAUGGUAGAUUUGAAGGCUAAAGAGACAAUACUUGGUAAGAAAUAUCACUUUUACUUAUUCUUUUAUGAAAUGGGAGAUCAAGGAAAGAACGACUAGUCGUAUUAAACUUGAAUUUUCAUGGGUACUAAAUCUUGCUCUUUCUAGGCAUUCCGUUGUUUGAACAAGCAAAUUGGGAUUAUAUUACUGAGUUUGUUAUGAGUAGGUUAUUGUUUAUUGAAUAAAAGAGAAAGACCUGAUCAGAUUUGAAGUCUUUUGAUUUAACAUAUCGAUGCUCACCUACUUAGAUGAUUUAAAAAUUAGAGACCUGCUGAAAGAAGACAAUUAUUGGCUUUAAGAUAACUUUUAUCAUUGGCCUAUCACAUCAACAUGCUACACUGGUCUUGCUAACAAGUUGCAUACAUUAUUUAAAAAUAAUUUCAUUUCCUUUCUUUAUUUUAUUGCACUGCAGUUGUUCGGAUGAAUACAAAUAAUUGAGAUUCUCAUGAAUAACAAAAUGCAAUUUGAUUAAAUGAAUAAUAAAAUUACGUAGAUAAAAGUGAGGUUGUUUAAAGGCAAGUUGAUGAUAAUUUGGUGGUCGGGCUUGGUUAGUAAUUUUUGGAAUUGUAUAAUUGAGUUUGUCAUGAACAGAUUUUGUUAUCGAAUAAAAGAGAGAGACUUUAUCAAAAUUGGAAGUCUUUGCCACUUGCAUGAAAUUAUAUGCAGAGUUGUCAAAAUGGGACAAAUAGAGGCUUUAUGAAAUGGUAUUGGUGUAGGCCAACAAACAAGUUGCAUACGUUAUUCCAAUUAAUUAGGGGAUUAAUUUCCAUAUUGUAUGAAAUUAUUGAGAGAGGUGUAGAUUUCGACAGUUUUCCACUUAUUUGGAACAAAAAUAGGGAGUCGAUUUAUUUGGAGGUUUUGGGCUUAAAUGAAUUUUGAAAUUACCCUGUAUGGUGAAUUUUAAAUGUACUUGGGCGAAAUCAGACGGAUCUGAUUGGAAGUAGCAUCUGGAUUUCUUUUGAAAAUGAAAAACUGAUCUCAAUUUUGUUCAAGAAACAUUUGGAAAAAUCGGAAAUUGGAAUGAAAAGACUUGUUCCAAAAUCAUUUUUUUUAUCAAACAGAAAUUUGAAAUUUCAUUUCUUUUAUUCACAUGUAAUACUAAUAUUGAUACUAUAAGUGUAAUUGUUGGAGUCAUUUUCCGAAAGUAAAAUCGAAACGAAAAUUGAAAUAUCAUUUAUAUUGCACUACGAUCCAAAAGAAAAUCAGAAAUUUUGAAAAUCGAGUUUCUUUUGAUUCAAAAUGAAAAACACUGCUUUAAUAUUUAAAAAAUUCGAAUCACAAAUCUACUGAGUCGAGAACUUCGUUUCAAUUUUCAGCUCCUAAUCUCACCAAUUCAACCGUCUCGGACUGUAAUUUAACACAGCUGUCUUGAAACUUGUUCCCCUUUCUAUAAAGAUUCUUCACUAAUCCAUACCAAUUUCAGAUUCUAUGACAGAUCUUCCAAUGCACCGUGAUGAUUCCUGGAGUCGAUCUUUUGAAUAUGUUGAACAAGUUGUCGCAUUGAACCAUUUCUUUUAAGCGGUUCGAUAAAAUGAGGCGGCAUGUGACCCAAAUGGAGCUCUUUGAGUUGAGUGACGUUCUCAAUGCCUACUGGGAUAUGCCUCAACCUCUGACAUCGGCUUAUUAUGAGUUUCUCAAGGCACGGUAAUGCCUCCUCGUCAAUAAUGAUUACUGUCAGCUCUUUCAUUUGAUCGAACUCUAGUACUUUUAGCUUCAGAAACGUUCCAACUUCGAAAUCUAACUGGACUCCUGUGUAGGCAUCUAGCAACUGGAGCUCCAACAGAUUAGGAAGUUCCCCGAGAAUUGUGAUGGGAUUGUUGUCUUGUCUCAGCCUAGACUGCUUAAGACGUAGUCUAACAAGGUCAUGAAGUUUGGAGAUCCAGCGUGGCAUCUUCUCCAAGUGCCCUUUCAAAUACAAACGUUGAAGGAGUUGAGGCGGGUUGUUGAU